GAUGAAGAACGUAGCGAAAUGCGAUAAGUAAUGUGAAUUGCAGAAUUCAGUGAAUCAUCGAAUCUUUGAACGCACAUUGCGCCCGCCAGUAUUCUGGCGGGCAUGCCUGUUCGAGCGUCAUUACAACCCUCAGGCCCCCGGGCCUGGCGUUGGGGAUCGGCGGAGCCCCCCGUGGGCACACGCCGUCCCCCAAAUACAGUGGCGGUCCCGCCGCAGCUUCCAUCGCGUAGUAGCUAACACCUCGCGACUGGAGAGCGGCGCGGCCACGCCGCAAAACACCCAACUCUUCUGAAGUUGACCUCGAAUCAGGUAGGAAUACCCGCUGAACUUAAGCAUAUCAAUAAGCGGAGGA
Molecule: unclassified non-coding RNA, 352 nt
Filed under: soil metagenome
Description: partial contains 5.8S ribosomal RNA, internal transcribed spacer 2, and large subunit ribosomal RNA
Rfam family: 5.8S ribosomal RNA (bases 1-120)
Source: RNAcentral